CCUACGGGUGGCAGCAGUGAGGAAUAUUGGUCAAUGGGCGUAAGCCUGAACCAGCCAAGUCGCGUGAGGGAUGAAGGUUCUAUGGAUCGUAAACCUCUUUUAUAAGGGAAUAAAGUGCGGGACGUGUCCCGUGUUGUAUGUACCUUAUGAAUAAGGAUCGGCUAACUCCGUGCCAGCAGCCGCGGUAAUACGGAGGAUCCGAGCGUUCUCCGGAUUUAUUGGGUUUAAAGGGAGCGUAGGUGGCUUGUUAAGUCAGUUGUGAAAGUUUGCGGCUCCACCGUAAAAUUGCAGUUGAAACUGGCAGUCUUGCGUACAGUAGAGGUGGGCGGAAUUCGUGGUGUCGCUGUGACAUGCUUAUCUAUCACGAAGAACUCCGAUUGCGACGGCCGUUCACUGGACUGCACCUGACACUGAGGCUC
This 419-nucleotide ribosomal RNA is filed under the name uncultured bacterium. RNAcentral's name for it is "partial 16S ribosomal RNA". It matches the Rfam family "Bacterial small subunit ribosomal RNA", at positions 338 to 754 of the family's 1533-position model. The record is from RNAcentral.